UCCCUUGCUUUUCCUGUGAUCAAACUGUGGUACAUACAUACAAUGAAAAUAUAAUGAUACUUUUUAUAACAUGGAUGAAUCUUAAAAACAUUAUGCUGCUUGUCCCUGCUCCUUGCCUCUUAGAACAUCCUUGAUGUGCUCAGCUGAGUGUUCUGUGGGCCCAGAGUGUUUACUGUUUAAAAAAAGUAUUCAAAGCCAUUCUAAGCCCCUUGAAGAGCACAGUUAUGAAUAAGGAAAUAGGACCACCGUUUUGUUGGUCUUCAGAAUUGAAGCUAUGGUUUGAGGGAUAGCUAGGGGAUAUUUGUAUUGUGCUGCUAGAGGUGAAAUUCAUGAACAGACAGAAGAAAUAUAUUUAUCAAGAAAUUUGAGUUUCAUCCUUGAUUAAGGUAGGGACAAAGCAAUACAAAAUUAGACUGUGAUAAUGUAAUUCUCAUGACUUUUAGGACAGCUUCUGAAAAACCAAUCUUUGAGUUCUAGGGGCUGCAUGGUUGCAAAGCUUAAACUUAAGGGAAUUGAGGAAGGCAACCCCUAGAAGUGGUACUCUUCUAGUGGUAUAAUUUGACUCAACUGGGGGAUCCUUGGCCAGUCUAGACAGAAAAGAUAGAUACAUACAGUGUACUGGCCAUUCUAAGUUGGUAAAGCAAUUUAUUUGGUUAAUUCUGAUAAGGAAGGAGAUUCUGGCAUGCUAAGUAGUUACAUGACCCUGAGCAGCCAGUGUCCCCCAGCUUCUUACAGGAACAAUUUGUGUUCAGUCACUCCAGAUGGAGUAUUAACCAAUCUGUGAUAACUUUGGAUGGCCACGGAUUCCUCAGCUAUACUGACCAGCUCCAGGUAUGCCUAACAGAUGCCAGCAGGUUUGGGUAACUCAUUGAACUCCAUUCCCCUAUCUGGAACUGCAGUUAUUCCUCCUGAAGGGAGAGUUUCCAGUAAGUGCAGGUCAUAAACUUGCAUUAAGUCCCUGCCCGUCAUCCAUUCAGCCAGUCUCUUAACGACGGCACAGUGCAGUGAAACACUGGGAUUAGCCCCUCUGCAAAGGCCACGACCCUGAUGGAGCUCUGAGAAGAUGGUUGAAUUUAACUUUGUAAAAGAAGUCAAAGUCACCACAAGGCUUCCUUAAAAGAACGUGGGAGUGUCAAGA
Molecule: non-coding RNA, 1138 nt
Filed under: Bos taurus (domestic cattle)
Lineage: Eukaryota; Metazoa; Chordata; Mammalia; Artiodactyla; Bovidae
Also listed under: 1 other name
Description: Eukaryotic small subunit ribosomal RNA
Rfam family: Eukaryotic small subunit ribosomal RNA
Source: Rfam by way of RNAcentral